GUACGAGGGGACAACCCGCCGAAAGGCGGGCUAAACCCGCGUACAUGCCACCGGGGCAUCCCGGAGGCAGGAAAGGCUUCGGCCGGACAGGGAUGGGCAUGCGGCGCAUUAGGCAGUAGGCGGGGUAACGGCCCACCUAACCGACGAUGCGUAGGGGUUCUGAGAGGAAGGUCCCCCACACUGGUACUGAGACACGGACCAGACUCCUACGGGAGGCAGCAG
RNAcentral lists this ribosomal RNA (222 nucleotides) under uncultured bacterium. Its description in RNAcentral is "partial 16S ribosomal RNA". It matches the Rfam family "Bacterial small subunit ribosomal RNA", at positions 134 to 354 of the family's 1533-position model. The record is from RNAcentral.